UUGUUUUUAGAGGAAAAACAGUUUUUGCAUAAUUAAAUUUUUAAUAUUUAUAAUAAGUUUUAUUUGGGAGAAAGGUCUAUUUUUAUUACUAAGUUUAAUUUUUUUUAAUUUUUAUUUACUAGAUUUAGGUUAAUUUUAAGAUUGUAAUAGAUUUUCUAAAGUUUAAUUCUGACUUUAGAAUUCAUUGUAAGUUUUAUUUAAAAUAUAAAUUUUUAAAUUUAUAAAAUUGAAGUGUGUUAAAAACAUAUUUUAAAAAUAAUUAUAGUAUUUGAAAUUAUUUAUAAAUAAAAAUAAAUUUUGUUAUAGAAAUACUUAUUAAAAAUAGAAAAAUUUUGUGCCAGCAUUCGCGGUUAUACAAAAUUGAUUUAAGUGAAUUUUUUAAAUUUUAUAAAUAUUAAUAUUUUAAAUAAUAAUAAUUUUAAAUUUAUUUAUAUAAAUUAAAUUAAGGUGGAAUUUUAUUAAUUUGUAGAUUAAAUUUUAAAUUUUAAUUAGUAGUUUAUGAAAAUUUUUAAUUAAACUAGGAUUAGAUACCCUAUUAUUUUAAUUGUAAAUUAUAAUUGUUUAACAAAAUUAAUUAAAAUUAAGUUUGUUAAUUAAGUUAAUAAAUAUUAGUUUGAUAUUUAGUUUUUGAAAAAAUUAGGUAGUAAUAGUUAAGGUCUUGAAACUUUAAGAAUUUGACGGUAAUUCAUUCAAUUUAGAGGAACUUGUUUUUUAAUUGAUGAUCCACGAUAAAAAAUACCUAGUCUAUUAUUAAUAAUAUUUGUAUAUCGUCGUUUUUAAAGGAUUUUUAAAGAAGAUUAAUUUUUAUAAUAUAAAAAUUAUAUAAUAAUUCAGAUCAAGGUGCAGUUUAUGAUUAGGUUAGAAUGAGUUACAAUAAAAUAAAUUUAUUACGAAUUUAAAAUUUUAUUUUUUAAUGAAGGAGGAUUUAAAAGUAAAUUUAUAAAAAUUAUUUAAGUUGAAAUUUGUUUUGAAUUAUGUACAUAUCGCCCGUCACUCUCUUUAUAAAAAGAGAUAAGUCGUAACAAAGUAAUGGUACUGGAAAGUGUCGUUAGAAUUAAUUUUAU
RNAcentral lists this non-coding RNA (1064 nucleotides) under Pachycephus smyrnensis. The record is from RNAcentral. Lineage: Eukaryota; Metazoa; Arthropoda; Insecta; Hymenoptera; Cephidae.